AGUCACCUAAUGAUUAUUAACAUUACUAAACAUGCCAUUAUUCAUUAAUAUCGGACAACUGAAAAACUAACAAUGCUGAAUAGUUGGUAGUCUAAUUCCUGAACUUCCGCUAACUUAUUCUGCAUCAUCGAUAACUAUUGAAGCAACCUUGUCUCAAUUAUUUUAAGAUCAAAAAUCAAGACUAAUUGACUUGUAUAAAGUAGUACUGGAGUUUCUCAACGAUCCAGAGCUGAAAAACAACUUCUUGAUCGAAACAAAGCUUCCUUCUUGGGGGAAGAAGAAUCCAAGCUCCUCAACAGAAGCUACUUGACAGCAGAGAUGAGUUGAUCAUGAGUUGGAUUAGGAGGUGGCCACAAAGAUCUGAACUUCUUGCAGAAACUCAUGUGGGAAUUCAGGGUUUCUUCUUCAUCGCCAGUUCUCCUCUGGGAUCUGACCACCUCGUCCUUGACUGCCUCAGUACACAGCCCACAAAUCAAGCGCCCCUAAAACCUCUCACAGACCCUUUUGAUGUAUGCCUCGGUACAUUCCUCAGUCAAUCCGCAGCACUCACGUUUGGCAAACUCCAAAUCACUAUUAGGACUGCUGCUGCUGCUUGAUGUUGACAUCUUUGCCACGUUCAAGCCGCUGGCUUCAGGGGAUGUUUGAGUAUCAAUUGCAGUCAUUUUCGGGAUACUUUCCCGAUCUUGAGGCUUGAAUCCCGCAGAUAAACAGACGAGGGAACUUGGGGAUGAGAUAUUAUUGUGAGUUUGGCAGGUUUUUUUAGCUGACAAAUCUGAGGGUUUUUUUUUUUUUCCUAAAAUUGAAUCUCUGAAAGGAAGAUUCUAUCUUUCUUUCUCCCACUCUCCUUCUUCUUCAACAAUCUCACCACCAAUGAUCAAGAGCUUGAAUACCAUAUACAUUUCAGAGCCUUGUUUGGCUCUUUGAGAUUGGAUUUUUCACUCUUGAAAGUGGGAGAGGGGAGAAUUUGUUAAUUCUUGUUGAAGGAUUGUUUGGAAGGAGACGAAGUGAAGGUUCAAGAAUCUGAAUUCUUCUUCAUCUU
This 1039-nucleotide long non-coding RNA is filed under the name Coffea arabica (coffee). RNAcentral describes it as "long non-coding RNA (CARA_LNC002863)". The record is from RNAcentral. Lineage: Eukaryota; Viridiplantae; Streptophyta; Magnoliopsida; Gentianales; Rubiaceae.